Molecule: long non-coding RNA, 418 nt
Organism: Lepisosteus oculatus (spotted gar)
Lineage: Eukaryota; Metazoa; Chordata; Actinopteri; Semionotiformes; Lepisosteidae
Source: RefSeq, a predicted model, not a curated record
UGUUCCACAAUUUCCUCUAGGUUUGUGCAGUAUCAUGUUUCAACAUAGCCACUUACAGUUUACCAGUCUUUAAUCAUGUUUUCACUAUACUUCACAAAACGUUGUUACCCUUUACUCUCUUCCCAGGACAAGAUAUUCUAAUACUAUAGAGCAGUCAGAAAGUGUUCAAGCAAGAGCACCAAGCAUCUCCAAUCAUCACAGCAGAACAGCAAUGGUGCACAGAGCAGACUCACCUCUGGCUUAAAUGGAGGCUUACCUGUACAUCAAGAGGAGCCAGGGGGUGGACCUUGGAUUAUUUAACCUGUCUUUUAUGGUGUACAGUAGCAAUUUAGUCUUGUCUUAGUUACUGAGGAGUUUUCCUUUUGCAUGUUGUCACACAGCCUGAAUGAUUGUAGAUCUGUUAUUUAAAACUGCUUGU